RNAcentral lists this ribosomal RNA (497 nucleotides) under uncultured bacterium. RNAcentral's name for it is "partial 16S ribosomal RNA". It matches the Rfam family "Bacterial small subunit ribosomal RNA", at positions 28 to 507 of the family's 1533-position model. The record is from RNAcentral.
GAUGAACGCUGGCGGCGUGCCUAAUACAUGCAAGUCGAGCGGACGGACGAGAAGCUUGCUUCUCUGAUGUUAGCGGCGGACGGGUGAGUAACACGUGGAUAACCUACCUAUAAGACUGGGAUAACUUCGGGAAACCGGAGCUAAUACCGGAUAAUAUUUUGAACCGCAGGGUUCAAAAGUGAAAGACGGCCUUGCUGUCACUUAUAGAUGGAUACGCGCUGCAUUAGCUAGUUGGUAAGGUAACGGCUUACCAAGGCAACGAUGCAUAGCCGACCUGAGAGGAUGAUCGGCCACACUGGAACUGGGACACGGUCCAGACUCCUACGGGAGGCAGCAGUAGGGAAUCUUCCGCAAUGGGCGAAAGCCUUACGGAGCAGCGCCGCGUCAGUUGUGAAGGUCUUCGGAUCGUAAAACUCUGUUAUUAGUGGAGAACAUAUGUGUAAGUAACUGUGCACAUCGUGACGGUACCUAAUCAGAAAGCCACGGCUAACUACGUG